AUACGGAAGGUCCGGGCGUUAUCCGGAUUUAUUGGGUUUAAAGGGAGCGCAGGCGGCGAUGCAAGCGUGACGUCAAAUUUCGGGGCUCAACCCCGUCUCGCGUCGCGAACUGCGUCCCUUGGUUGCGGGAAGGGGAGGCGGAACUUGCGGUGUUGGGGUGGAAUGCAUAGAUAUCACGAAGAACUCCGAUCGCGAAGGCAGCCUUCCGGCCCGUCAACGACGCUCAUGCUCGAAGGUGCGGGUAUCAAACAGGAUUAGAUACCCUGGUAGUCCACGCAGUAAACGAUGAUGGCUAACCGCUGGGCUUAUCAGUUCAGUGGCCAAGCGAAAGCGGUAAGCCAUCCACCUGGGGAGUACGACCGCAAGGUUGAAACUCAAAUGAAUUGGCGGGG
Molecule: ribosomal RNA, 392 nt
Filed under: uncultured bacterium
Lineage: Bacteria
Description: partial 16S ribosomal RNA
Rfam family: Bacterial small subunit ribosomal RNA
Source: RNAcentral